RNAcentral lists this ribosomal RNA (497 nucleotides) under uncultured bacterium. Its description in RNAcentral is "partial 16S ribosomal RNA". It matches the Rfam family "Bacterial small subunit ribosomal RNA", at positions 28 to 507 of the family's 1533-position model. The record is from RNAcentral.
GAUGGACGCUGGCGGCGUGCCUAAUACAUGCAAGUCGAGCGAACAGACGAGGAGCUUGCUCCUCUGACGUUAGCUGCGGACGGGUGAGUAACACGUGGAUAACCUACCUAUAAGACUGGGAUAACUUCGGGAAACCGGAGCUAAUACCGGAUAAUAUAUUGAACCGCAUGGUUCAAUAGUGAAAGACGGUUUUGCUGUCACUUAUAGAUGGAUCCGCGCCGCAUUAGCUAGUUGGUAAGGUAACGGCUUACCAAGGCGACGAUGCGUAGCCGACCUGAGAGGGUGAUCGGCAACACUGGAAAUGAGACACGGUCCAGACUCCUACGGGAGGCAGCAGUAGGGAAUCUUCCGCAAUGGGCGAAAGCCUGACGGAGCAAAGCCGCGUGAGUGAUGAAGGUCUUCGGAUCGUAAAACUCUGUUAUUAGGGAAGAACAAAUGUGUAAGUAACUAUGCACGUCUUGACGGUACCUAAUCAGAAAGCCACGGCUAACUACGUG